UAGGGAAUUUUCGUCAAUGGGCGCAAGCCUGAACGAGCAAUGCCGCGUGAACGAGGAAGGUCUUCGGAUCGUAAAGUUCUGUUGAAGGGGAAAAAGAGCGGAGAGAGGAAAUGUCUCCGAUUGAUAUUACCCUUCGAGGAAGUCACGGCUAACUACGUGCC
RNAcentral lists this ribosomal RNA (161 nucleotides) under uncultured bacterium. RNAcentral describes it as "partial 16S ribosomal RNA". It matches the Rfam family "Bacterial small subunit ribosomal RNA", at positions 355 to 509 of the family's 1533-position model. The record is from RNAcentral.